Molecule: ribosomal RNA, 459 nt
Filed under: uncultured bacterium
Lineage: Bacteria
Description: partial 16S ribosomal RNA
Rfam family: Bacterial small subunit ribosomal RNA
Source: RNAcentral
GACGAACGCUGGCGGCAGGCCUAACACACGCAAGUCGAACGAGAAGCCACCUUCGGGUGGUGGAAAGUGGCAGACGGGUGAGUAACGCGUGGGAACGUGCCUUUCGGUUCGGGAUCACCCAGGGAAACUUGGGCUAAUACCGGAUACGCCCUCCGGGGGAAAGAUUCAUUGCCGAAAGAUCGGCCCGCGUCGGAUUAGCUAGUUGGUAGGGUAAUGGCCUACCAAGGCGACGAUCCGUAGCUGGUCUGAGAGGAUGACCAGCCACACUGGGACUGAGACACGGCCCAGACUCCUACGGGAGGCAGCAGUGGGGAAUAUUGGACAAUGGGCGAAAGCCUGAUCCAGCCAUGCCGCGUGGGUGAAGAAGGCCUUAGGGUCGUAAACCCCUUUCCGCGGGGAAGAUAAUGACGGUACCCGCAGAAGAAGUCCCGGCUAACUCCGUGCCAGCCGCCGCUGUAA